This 244-nucleotide unclassified non-coding RNA is filed under the name plant metagenome. Its description in RNAcentral is "partial contains small subunit ribosomal RNA, internal transcribed spacer 1, and 5.8S ribosomal RNA". The stretch from base 1 to 53 matches the Rfam family "Eukaryotic small subunit ribosomal RNA", at positions 1778 to 1831 of the family's 1831-position model. The record is from RNAcentral.
GGAAGUAAAAGUCUAACAAGGUUUCCGUAGGUGAACCUGCGGAAGGAUCAUUACAGUGUUCUCUGCCCUCACGGGUAGAAACGCCCACCCUUGUAUAUUAUAUCUUUGUUGCUUUGGCAGGCCGCCCUCGGGCACCGGCUCCGGCUGGAUCGCGCCUGCCAGAGGAAACCCAAACUCUGAAUGUUAGUGUCGUCUGAGUACUAUCUAAUAGUUAAAACUUUCAACAACGGAUCUCUUGGUUCUG